AUGGAUCACACCGUUCACACGCGGGGCGGGGGGAAACCAACCACGGCCGAGAACGCUGGGCGGCUGUCGUCGUCGUCGUGCCGCUGCACGGCGCGGCGCGGCACCACGCGAGGCCGAGCGGGCGCGCAUGUGCCUCCGGCUCGCCAUCACCUCGCUCCAUCUCUGAUUUCUUUCCAUGUGCGCGUGUUUCGCCGGAUCGCGUUCGUGGAUUGAUUCAUUAAUUUUGUCGCCGAGAGCAUCGCCGUGUUUUUCGCCCCCCGCAAAUUCGUCUCCCGCGCAUCAUCAUCUGGAUGGAUUCUGCAGGGAGCGAACGAAAGCGAUAGUGCCGGAUUCUCCUGCUUCGUCCACAAUCUUGGAGGACAGCGACACCCUCGUCCUUCCAUUCUUUGUUUUAAGCAAGCAAUAUCUUAACUGCGGUUUAGCACGAGGCCCCAUCCGCCGUGCUUGCUUACUUUCGGUUGCGUCGGUGAUGUCGGCCAGCUGGACGAACAAACAACCGCUUUUUUCAGACUUUAUUUGCUUUAUUAUUUAUUUUACCCGGCCUCGUGGUGAGAGAAUCCAGGUCGAUCACUGCGUGUAUACCUACUCGUCACAGCAGGGCGAAGUUGGUGGCUGUUCGUUCACCAACCUGUCGUCUCCGGCCGUUCCGUCCCUGUCGCUUGUUGCCACGGUCUCAUUCUCGUGCUGCAUGGCCUUGGCUCUCAUGCUCGCUCGCAUGCGUUUGGCGUUCGCGUUUUGGCACUGUUGCUUGACGUGCCGACGAGCAACCAAACCAUGCUGAGGGUGAGGUGUUAAGCAUCACAGAUUCCUAUCCUAUCCUACCUGCACAAAACUAGUACUAGUACUCCUAGAAUUCAGGUGGGUAAUGGAUUCAGGGGAAACGGAACUUUUGUGGAACAAAUUCUUUGGCGGUUAGAUUCGCAUUCCGUUCCGUUUCC
Molecule: long non-coding RNA, 938 nt
Organism: Sorghum bicolor (sorghum)
Lineage: Eukaryota; Viridiplantae; Streptophyta; Magnoliopsida; Poales; Poaceae
Exons: 2
Source: RefSeq, a predicted model, not a curated record